GACGAACGCUGGCGGCGCGCUUAACACAUGCAAGUCGAACGGAAAGGCCUGCUUUCCCUUGUGGAUUGCGGGUACUCGAGUGGCGAACGGGUGAGUAACACGUGAGUGAUCUGCCCCCAACUUGGGUAUAAGCCUGGGAAACUGGGUCUAAUUCCCGAUAGGACUGCAGGGUGGUGCCUGUGGUGGAAAACGAUUUUCUAGUGGUUGGGGAUGAGCUCGCGGCCUAUCAGCUUGUUGGUGGGGUAAUGGCCUACCAAGGCGGCGACGGGUAGCCGGCCUGAGAGGGUGGACGGCCACAUUGGGACUGAGAUACGGCCCAGACUCCUACGGGAGGCAGCAGUGGGGAAUAUUGCACAAUGGGCGGAAGCCUGAUGCAGCGACGCCGCGUGGGGGAUGACGGCCUUCGGGUUGUAAACUCCUUUCGACCGCGAGGAAGCCACCUGGUUGGAAGGGUGGUGACGGUUGUGGUAGAAGAAGCACCGGCUAACUACGUG
RNAcentral lists this ribosomal RNA (494 nucleotides) under uncultured bacterium. Its description in RNAcentral is "partial 16S ribosomal RNA". It matches the Rfam family "Bacterial small subunit ribosomal RNA", at positions 28 to 507 of the family's 1533-position model. The record is from RNAcentral.